This 437-nucleotide ribosomal RNA is filed under the name uncultured Clostridium sp. RNAcentral's name for it is "partial 16S ribosomal RNA". It matches the Rfam family "Bacterial small subunit ribosomal RNA", at positions 341 to 792 of the family's 1533-position model. Lineage: Bacteria; Bacillati; Bacillota; Clostridia; Eubacteriales; Clostridiaceae. The record is from RNAcentral.
ACGGGAGGCAGCAGUGGGGAAUAUUGGGCAAUGGGCGAAAGCCUGACCCAGCAACGCCGCGUGAAGGAAGAAGGUUUUCGGAUUGUAAACUUCUUUUAUCAGGGACGAAGAAAGUGACGGUACCUGAUGAAUAAGCCACGGCUAACUACGUGCCAGCAGCCGCGGUAAUACGUAGGUGGCAAGCGUUAUCCGGAUUUACUGGGUGUAAAGGGCGCGUAGGCGGGGAUGCAAGUCAGAUGUGAAAUCUAUGGGCUUAACCCAUAAACUGCAUUUGAAACUGUUGAUCUUGAGUAUCGGAGAGGCAAUCGGAAUUCCUAGUGUAGCGGUGAAAUGCGUAGAUAUUAGGAGGAACACCAGUGGCGAAGGCGGAUUGCUGGACGACAACUGACGGUGAGGCGCGAAAGCGUGGGGAGCAAACAGGAUUAGAUACCCUGGUA